RNAcentral lists this transfer RNA (68 nucleotides) under Sporomusa termitida. RNAcentral describes it as "tRNA-Ile". Lineage: Bacteria; Bacillati; Bacillota; Negativicutes; Selenomonadales; Sporomusaceae. The record is from RNAcentral.
GAUGGCCUGGUUUAUGGGGGCGGCAAGUUUAUGGUUUGGCUUUGGCUGUUCCAUUUUGCUGGUCGUUG